Long non-coding RNA from Oncorhynchus keta (chum salmon), 265 nucleotides. RefSeq lists it as uncharacterized. Lineage: Eukaryota; Metazoa; Chordata; Actinopteri; Salmoniformes; Salmonidae. The record is from RefSeq and is a predicted model, not a curated record. The transcript is spliced from 3 exons.
GAGUACUCUGACUCUAACUAUGGUGAGGAUGAGGAAGUGAGUACUCUGACUCUAACUAUGGUGAGGAUGAGGAAGUGAGUACUCUGACUCUAAUUAAGGUGAGGAUGAGGAAGUGAGUACUCUGACUCUAACUAUGGUGAGGAUGAGGAAGUGAGUACUCUGACUCUAACUAUGGUGAGGAUGAGGAAGUGAGUACUCUGACUCUAAUUAAGGUGAGGAUGAGGAAGUGAGUACUCUGACUCUAACUAUGGUGAGGAUGAGGAAG